RNAcentral lists this ribosomal RNA (176 nucleotides) under Prototheca wickerhamii. RNAcentral describes it as "5.8S ribosomal RNA". It matches the Rfam family "5.8S ribosomal RNA". From Rfam's summary of the family: 5.8S ribosomal RNA (5.8S rRNA) is a component of the large subunit of the eukaryotic ribosome. It is transcribed by RNA polymerase I as part of the 45S precursor that also contains 18S and 28S rRNA. Lineage: Eukaryota; Viridiplantae; Chlorophyta; Trebouxiophyceae; Chlorellales; Chlorellaceae. The record is from RNAcentral.
AACUCUCAACAACGGAUAUCUUGGCUCCCGCAUCGAUGAAGAACGCAGCGAACUGCGAGACGUAGUGUGAAUUGCAGAAUUCCGUGAACCAUCGAAUCUUUGAACGCAACUUGUGCCAUGGUGUUGGGGUCACUUGACUCUGAUUCUAUAUUUUUGGCAUGUCUGCCUCAGCGUCG